CGGUGUCCAUGUUCUCAUUUUUGUCUUCCCCCCAAAUUUUCCCUCCCUCUCUCCAUCUACCCCAAAAUCUUCCCACCGUCGACCACCGUUCGGAGCUCCGUCGUCCUUCCGGUUCCAGCGACCAGUUUCUCACGAGCCCGCCACCGUUCCGAGCUCCAUCAUUCUUCCGGUUCCGACGAGGUGUUUCGCACAAGCCCGCCACCAUGGCGAGCUCCGUCAUUCUUCCGGUUCCGACGAGGUGUUUCGCACGAGCCAGCCACCGGUUCGAGCUCCGUCAUUCUUCCGGUUCCGACGAGGUCCCCCACCGUCUACUUCGAUCUCCAUCUCCAUCUCCGACCACUAGGCACUGCCAGGCGCCAUCACCGUCGUUCUCCAUCUUCGGCCAAAGCCCACCCACCGGCCGUCUUCCAGUUCCGGCCCUCUUCCAUCUCCGGCCGUUUUCCAGCUCCGGCUUCCCCCCAAAUCCGUCUCCUUCAAGUCUAGGUCUCCGUCAGAAAUUUUUAAAUGGAUUUAUCACAAUUGGACUUGAUUUCACAACACGAAGAUGAUUGUUCAUUGACACAUAUUGAACUUGAUGAUGUUGUGCCCAUCGAAAUGGACCCUCAAAAUGGAAAUGGCACCACCACAGCCCUAUCCGCUUGUGCUUUAUUGAGUUAUCAUAAGGGGAAAGACGUGUGUUCAUACCUAUGAAAUAUAUUCUUUAUUCUUUGGGGUAAUUACAUUUUUCUCCCAUCAAGUCAUUGUUAACAUGCUCUCAUGAAUUGACACCUCGACCAAAAGAAAGCAUCCAACUACCAACUUUACACACUUUGCCCCCUUCCGUCAGUUUAAUUCGUAAAAAGACAUAAAUGCCCUCAACUUUUUUAAACAUAUUAAUUUUAAUAUUUUUUUUAUUAAUUACUGUUGGAGGGCAUUUUGGUCUUUAAACCAAAAUUAACGCCCAAAAAUGAAAUAUUCCGUCCAAGUUAACGAAAUUCUUUGACGGAAUGGAGCAAAGUGUGUAAAGUUGGUAGUUGGAUGCUCUCUUUUGGUCAAGGUGUCAGUUCAUGGGGGCAUGUUGACAAUGGCUGGUAGUUAAUGGGGGAAAAAGGUAAUUACCCCUUAUUCUUUUUUGUCCUUCUUAACUACAAAUAUUUGUCUUUAUAAAUUAAUAUAAUGAAAACCUAGGUCUACAAUGUUCUUAUUUUUAAGGAAAAUAAAAUAA
This is an RNA transcript of Alnus glutinosa, 1204 nucleotides long. It is a transcript of the gene named early nodulin-20-like, with no coding region annotated. The record is from RefSeq and is a predicted model, not a curated record. The transcript is spliced from 3 exons. Lineage: Eukaryota; Viridiplantae; Streptophyta; Magnoliopsida; Fagales; Betulaceae.